UGGGGAAUAUUGGACAAUGGGCGAAAGCCUGAUCCAGCAAUGCCGCGUGAGUGAUGAAGGCCUUAGGGUUGUAAAGCUCUUUUACCAGGGAUGAUAAUGACAGUACCUGGAGAAUAAGCUCCGGCUAACUACGUGCCAGCAGCCGCGGUAAUACGUAGGGACUAAGCGUUGUUCGGAUUUACUGGGCGUAAAGGGCGCGUAGGCGGCAAUUCAAGUCAUCUGUGAAAUCUCCGGGCUUAACUCGGAACGGUCAGAUGAUACUGCUUUGCUAGAGUGCAGAAGGGGCAAUCGGAAUUCUUGGUGUAGCGGUGAAAUGCGUAGAUAUCAAGAGGAACACCUGAGGUGAAGACGGGUUGCUGGGCUGACACUGACGCUGAGGCGCGAAAGCCAGGGGAGCAAACGGGAUUAGAUACCCAUGUAGUCCCUGAGCGGGCUGGCAAGGCGCAU
RNAcentral lists this ribosomal RNA (447 nucleotides) under uncultured bacterium. RNAcentral describes it as "bacterial SSU rRNA". It matches the Rfam family "Bacterial small subunit ribosomal RNA", at positions 355 to 825 of the family's 1533-position model. The record is from RNAcentral.